GGGCGUUUGGCAGAACGGCUAUGCACUUGACUUUUAAUCAAGCUCACACAGGUUCGACCCCUGUAGCGCCCACCA
This 75-nucleotide transfer RNA is filed under the name Leptolyngbya sp. NIES-3755. Its description in RNAcentral is "tRNA-Lys". It matches the Rfam family "tRNA". Rfam says of the family: Transfer RNA (tRNA) molecules are approximately 80 nucleotides in length. Their secondary structure includes four short double-helical elements and three loops (D, anti-codon, and T loops). Lineage: Bacteria; Bacillati; Cyanobacteriota; Cyanophyceae; Leptolyngbyales; Leptolyngbyaceae. The record is from RNAcentral.